Molecule: non-coding RNA, 148 nt
Filed under: Chlorocebus sabaeus (green monkey)
Lineage: Eukaryota; Metazoa; Chordata; Mammalia; Primates; Cercopithecidae
Source: Rfam by way of RNAcentral
GCCGGGCGUGGUGGCACGUGCCUGUAAUCCCAGGUACUCAGGAGGCUGAGACAGGAGAAUCGCUUGAACCUGGGAGGUGGAGGUUGCAGUGAGCUGCGAUCGUGCCACUGCACUCCAGCCUGGGUGACAGAGUGAGACCCUGUCUCAA